CCGCCUCCCGUCUCCUCCCCGCCCCCCGGAGCCGACAAGUGGUGGCGGCGGCGGGCCCAGGUCUGGGGUCCCUCAGACAGGAGGGCGGGUGGAGGAGGAAGCGG
Molecule: microRNA precursor, 104 nt
Filed under: Chlorocebus sabaeus (green monkey)
Lineage: Eukaryota; Metazoa; Chordata; Mammalia; Primates; Cercopithecidae
Description: miRNA (ENSCSAG00000021777.1)
Source: RNAcentral